Molecule: ribosomal RNA, 436 nt
Filed under: uncultured bacterium
Lineage: Bacteria
Description: bacterial SSU rRNA
Rfam family: Bacterial small subunit ribosomal RNA
Source: RNAcentral
AUGGCGACCGGCGCACGGGUGAGUAACGCGUAUCCAACUUCCCCGAUAGUAGGGCAUAGCCCGUAGAAAUGCGGAUUAAUACCCUAUGUAUUCCGAGGAUGACAUCUGAUUCGGAACAAAGGUUCACCGCUAUGGGGAUGGGGAUGCGUCUGAUUAGGUAGUAGGCGGGGUAACGGCCCACCUAGCCGACGAUCAGUAGGGGUUCUGAGAGGAAGGUCCCCCACAUUGGAACUGAGACACGGUCCAAACUCCUACGGGAGGCAGCGAGUGAGGAAUAUUGGGUCAAUGGGCGAGAGCCUGAACCAGCCAAGUAGCGUGCAGGAAGACGGCCCUAUGGGUUGUAAACUGCUUUUAUACAGGGAUAAAGUCGGGGACGCGUUCCCCGUUUGCAGGUACUGUAUGAAUAAGGACCGGCUAAUUCCGUGCCAGCCGCCGC